GCAGACACAUUUCAGCCAAUCAGCAGCAGACCCUCCCUCCCAGACCCUCCCACCUCCUGGACAGCAUCCAUUUUACAUUCAUUGUGAAGCUGCAUUCUUAGUGAGCUGUCCAGGAGGUGGGAGGGUCUGGGAGGGAGGGUCUGCUGCUGAUUGGCUGGAACAGGGUC
Molecule: non-coding RNA, 167 nt
Organism: Pelobates cultripes (western spadefoot toad)
Lineage: Eukaryota; Metazoa; Chordata; Amphibia; Anura; Pelobatidae
Source: the annotation of a GenBank genome assembly